AGUGAACGCUGGCGGUAGGCCUAACACAUGCAAGUCGAACGGCAGCACAGUAAGAGCUUGCUCUUACGGGUGGCGAGUGGCGGACGGGUGAGGAAUACCUCGGAAUCUACUUUUUCGUGGGGGAUAACGUAGGGAAACUUACGCUAAUACCCCAUACGACCUACGGGUGAAAGCAUGGGAUCUUCCGACCUUGCACGAUUGAAUGAGCCGAUGUCGGAUUAGCUAGUUGGCGGGGUAAAGGCCCACCAAGGCGACGAUCCGUAGCUGGUCUGAGAGGAUGAUCAGCCACACUGGAACUGAGACACGGUCCAGACUCCUACGGGAGGCAGCAGUGGGGAAUAUUGGACAAUGGGCGCAAGCCUGAUCCAGCCAUACCGCGUGGGUGAAGAAGGCCUUCGGGUUGUAAAGCCCUUUUGUUGGGAAAGAAAAGCAGCAGGUUAAUACCUCGCUGUUCUGACGGUACCCAAAGAAUAAGCACCGGCUAACUUCGUG
RNAcentral lists this ribosomal RNA (492 nucleotides) under uncultured bacterium. Its description in RNAcentral is "partial 16S ribosomal RNA". It matches the Rfam family "Bacterial small subunit ribosomal RNA", at positions 29 to 507 of the family's 1533-position model. The record is from RNAcentral.